UUUGGAAAAUGUUUGGAUUUUUAUAAAUUGUGGCCAGUUGAAAUUUAUUUGUUUGGAAAUGUCAGUAUAAAUUACAAAUGGCGCGCUUUUGAAAGUUUUCUGUUUUGUAAUAAAAAGUAAAGGCGGCUUUUCCGAUCCAAUUCACGUGGGUGGGAGGACUAGUACAUGCAAGAGGUUGGAGCUUGCCCAAGGAGUACGCAGGCCGAUUGGGUCUAAGCCCAUUGGAAGUGGAUGAAGAAGACUACCAGACUCUGGUGCAGCCGUUACCGAAGGUGAAGGGGACUGACGAUGAGACCUAGUUGCCUAAAUCGAACUUAAGAGGACUUCCAGAAGCUGACGCUGAGCCCGAAGGAGAAAAGCGACCAUUUCGCUGAGUGGAGAGAAAUGGCUCAAGGAAGCCCACUGAUUUAAGACAGAAUGGCAGACAAGAAUCCUCUCAGCAUCCUAAAGGAUGUUAUCCAUAAACUAAGCUGUGAAACAUAUUUGCUCAAAGAGGACGAGCGGUUCGAAAUCACAAAUGGACGGGUGCAGCUGUUGGGAUGAAGAGCGCCCCAACAGAAGACCGAAACGAGCACGUCAUUCAGUUACAAAUUCCCGGUACACAUCGUUAGCACACCAGGAUAGUUCCACCUGUUAUCGUUGAAAAACUAUAGAACUUUUUUUUUGCUUUUAUCUUUAGGACGUAAUAGCUUUUCGUUUAAA
This is a long non-coding RNA of Scaptodrosophila lebanonensis, 702 nucleotides long. RefSeq lists it as uncharacterized. Lineage: Eukaryota; Metazoa; Arthropoda; Insecta; Diptera; Drosophilidae. The record is from RefSeq and is a predicted model, not a curated record. The transcript is spliced from 2 exons.